Molecule: ribosomal RNA, 246 nt
Filed under: uncultured bacterium
Lineage: Bacteria
Description: partial 16S ribosomal RNA
Rfam family: Bacterial small subunit ribosomal RNA
Source: RNAcentral
UAGAUCCUACGGGGGGCAGCAGUAGGGAAUAUUGCUCAAUGGGGGAAACCCUGAAGCAGCAACGCCGCGUGGAGGAUGAAGGUUUUCGGAUUGUAAACUCCUUUUGUUAGAGAAGAUAAUGACGGUAUCUAACGAAUAAGCACCGGCUAACUCCGUGCCAGCAGCCGCGGUAAUACGGAGGGUGCAAGCGUUACUCGGAAUCACUGGGCGUAAAGAGCGCGUAGGCGGGUUAGAAAGUCAGAAGUG